UACGAAGGGGGCUAGCGUUGUUCGGAAUUACUGGGCGUAAAGCGUAUGCAGGCGGAUCAUUAAGUCGGGGGUGAAAUCCCGAGGCUCAACCUCGGAACUGCCUUCGAUACUGAUGAUCUUGAGUCCGGGAGAGGUGAGUGGAACUGCGAGUGUAGAGGUGAAAUUCGUAGAUAUUCGGAAGAACACCAGUGGCGAAGGCGACAUACUGGCUCAUUACUGACGCUGAGGCUCGAAAGCGUGGGGAGCAAACAGG
RNAcentral lists this ribosomal RNA (253 nucleotides) under uncultured bacterium. RNAcentral's name for it is "partial 16S ribosomal RNA". It matches the Rfam family "Bacterial small subunit ribosomal RNA", at positions 524 to 776 of the family's 1533-position model. The record is from RNAcentral.